This 404-nucleotide ribosomal RNA is filed under the name uncultured Eubacteriales bacterium. Its description in RNAcentral is "uncultured Clostridiales bacterium partial 16S ribosomal RNA". It matches the Rfam family "Bacterial small subunit ribosomal RNA", at positions 355 to 774 of the family's 1533-position model. Lineage: Bacteria; Bacillati; Bacillota; Clostridia; Eubacteriales. The record is from RNAcentral.
UGGGGAAUAUUGCGCAAUGGGGGAAACCCUGACGCAGCAACGCCGCGUGAAGGAUGAAGGUCUUCGGAUUGUAAACUUCUUUGAUGAGGGAAGAAUAAAUGACGGUACCUCAAAAACAAGCCACGGCUAACUACGUGCCAGCAGCCGCGGUAAUACGUAGGUGGCGAGCGUUGUCCGGAAUUACUGGGUGUAAAGGGCGUGUAGGCGGGAUUGCAAGUCAGAUGUGAAAUUCCGGGGCUUAACCUCGGCGCUGCAUCUGAAACUGCGAUUCUUGAGUGAUGGAGAGGAAAGUGGUAUUCCUAGUGUAGCGGUGAAAUGCGUAGAUAUUAGGAGGAACACCAGUGGCGAAGGCGACUUUCUGGACAUUAACUGACGCUGAGGCGCGAAAGCGUGGGGAGCAAACA